This 253-nucleotide ribosomal RNA is filed under the name uncultured bacterium. Its description in RNAcentral is "partial 16S ribosomal RNA". It matches the Rfam family "Bacterial small subunit ribosomal RNA", at positions 524 to 776 of the family's 1533-position model. The record is from RNAcentral.
UACGAAGGGGGCUAGUGUUGUUCGGAUUUACUGGGCGUAAAGGGCGCGUAGGCGGAUUUUUAAGUCGGGGGUGAAAUCCCGGAGCUCAACUCCGGAACUGCCUUCGAUACUGAAAGUCUGGAGCACGGUAGAGGUGAGUGGUAUUCCGAGUGUAGAGGUGAAAUUCGUAGAUAUUCGGUGGAACACCAGUGGCGAAGGGGGCUCACUGGACCGUUGCUGACGCUGAGACGCGACAGCGUUGGGAGCAAACAGG